GACGACGCUGGCGGCGUGGAUUAGGCAUGCAAGUCGAACGGUAUCAUCCUUUCGGGGGUGAGAGAGUGGCGAACUGGUGAGUAACACGUAGGUUAUCUACCCUCAAGACGGGGACAACCCAGGGAAACUUGGGCUAAUACCGGAUGUGAGCAACUUUUAGUUGUUUGAAAGGUGGCGUAAGCUGUCGCUUGGGGAUGAGCCUGCGUCCUAUUAGUUAGUUGGUGAGGUAACGGCUCACCUAGGCAAUGAUAGGUAGGCGGCCUUAACGGGUGGUCGCCCACACUGGGAUUGAGAUACGGCCCAGACUCCUACGGGAGGCAGCAGUCGAGAAUAGUCUACAAUGGUCGGAAGAUUGAUAGUGCGACGCCGCGUGAACGAUGAAUCCCUUCGGGGUGUAAAGUUCUUUUAUAUGUGAGCAGUGCUUCUUAUAUUAACAGUAUGGGGAGAGAGAUAUUAGCAUAUGAAUAAGCAACGGCUAACUCCGUG
Molecule: ribosomal RNA, 486 nt
Filed under: uncultured bacterium
Lineage: Bacteria
Description: bacterial SSU rRNA
Rfam family: Bacterial small subunit ribosomal RNA
Source: RNAcentral